RNAcentral lists this ribosomal RNA (370 nucleotides) under uncultured eukaryote. Its description in RNAcentral is "partial 18S ribosomal RNA". It matches the Rfam family "Eukaryotic small subunit ribosomal RNA", at positions 592 to 976 of the family's 1831-position model. The record is from RNAcentral.
CAAUAGCGUAUAUUAAAGUUGUUGCAGUUAAAAAGCUCGUAGUUGGACCUUGGACCUGGACAGGCGGUCCGCCUCACGGCGUGUACUGUCUUGCUGGGUCUUUCCUCUUGGUGAUCUGCUGUUUCGGCAGCAGGGAACCAGGACUUUUACUUUGAAAAAAUUAGAGUGUUCAAAGCAGGCUCGACGCCGGAAUAUAUUAGCAUGGAAUAAUAAAAUAGGACGUGCGGUUCUAUUUUGUUGGUUUUUGGAAUCGCCGUAAUGAUUAAUAGGGACAGUCGGGGGCAUUAGUACUCACAUGCUAGAGGUGAAAUUCUUGGAUUUUGUGAAGACUAACUUCUGCGAAAGCAUUUGCCAAGGAUGUUUUCAUUAA